RNAcentral lists this ribosomal RNA (253 nucleotides) under uncultured bacterium. RNAcentral's name for it is "partial 16S ribosomal RNA". It matches the Rfam family "Bacterial small subunit ribosomal RNA", at positions 524 to 776 of the family's 1533-position model. The record is from RNAcentral.
UACGGAGGGUGCAAGCGUUAUCCGGAUUCACUGGGUUUAAAGGGUGCGUAGGUGGGCAGGUAAGUCAGUGGUGAAAUCUUUGGGCUUAACCCGAAAACUGCCAUUGAUACUAUUUGUCUUGAAUAUUGUGGAGGUCAGCGGAAUAUGUCAUGUAGCGGUGAAAUGCUUAGAUAUGACAUAGAACACCAAUUGCGAAGGCAGCUGACUACAGGGGCAUUGACACUGAGGCACGAAAGCGUGGGGAUCAAACAGG